Molecule: long non-coding RNA, 385 nt
Organism: Lagenorhynchus albirostris (white-beaked dolphin)
Lineage: Eukaryota; Metazoa; Chordata; Mammalia; Artiodactyla; Delphinidae
Exons: 4
Source: RefSeq, a predicted model, not a curated record
CCGCCACCGCGGGCCGAGACGGGCGUCGGGAGGAAGGCAGAGGCCCUGCCGCGGCUUUGUACCGGAGGUCCCGCUGCCGGCUGGGACUUUAGACAUUAUCAGCUCGUCAGAAGCAAGAUCUGAUGUGUCAUAUGCUCUAUGUAGAACCAGGAAGAAUCCACUUGUGGAAUUUUUCUAUAAGUGCUCCAGCAAUGAAACAGCUGCCCGAGUGAGGAAUUCCAGUUUGAAAAGAAAUGGACAAAGUUCAAACGGUUACAAAGUCAAGCUGUGUCUUCCAGCCACAGGAUUGGCUCCUCUAAGGGACACGAGGGGAUCAAGGCUGGACCUAGAAUUGAUCAUUACUUUUGGAGCCAAGAGUGGCAGUAAAUCUUCAUCUCUUUGUGGG